GACGACCGCUGGCGGCGUGCUUAACACAUGCCAGUCGAACGGAAAGGCCCUGCUUUUGUGGGGUGCUCGAGUGGCGAACGGGUGAGUAACACGUGAGUAACCUGCCCUUGACUUUGGGAUAACUUCAGGAAACUGGGGCUAAUACCGGAUAGGAGCUCCUGCUGCAUGGUGGGGGUUGGAAAGUUUCGGCGGUUGGGGAUGGACUCGCGGCUUAUCAGCUUGUUGGUGGGGUAGUGGCUUACCAAGGCUUUGACGGGUAGCCGGCCUGAGAGGGUGACCGGCCACAUUGGGACUGAGAUACGGCCCAGACUCCUACGGGAGGCAGCAGUGGGGAAUAUUGCACAAUGGGCGGAAGCCUGAUGCAGCAACGCCGCGUGCGGGAUGACGGCCUUCGGGUUGUAAACCGCUUUCGCCUGUGACGAAGCGUGAGUGACGGUAAUGGGUAAAGAAGCACCGGCUAACUACGUG
This 468-nucleotide ribosomal RNA is filed under the name uncultured bacterium. RNAcentral describes it as "partial 16S ribosomal RNA". It matches the Rfam family "Bacterial small subunit ribosomal RNA", at positions 28 to 507 of the family's 1533-position model. The record is from RNAcentral.